CGAACGCGGGCGGGCAUGUUUAACACAUCAAAUUCGAACGGACGACCAUGGACAGAAUCUUCGGAGGACGACUAUGAAAGUUAGGGGCGGACGGGUGAGUAACGCGUGGGUAACCUGCCCUUUAAAUUGGGACAACAGUUGAAAACGACUGCUAAUACCGAAUGUGACGUUUUGGGAGGCAUCUCCUGAACGGGAAAGAUGGCUGAGCUUGAUGCUAUCGUUAAAGGAUGGACCCGCGUCUGAUUAGCUAGUUGGAAGGGUAACGGCCUACCAAGGCGACGAUCAGUAGCCGACCUGAGAGGGUGACCGGCCACAUUGGGACUGAGACACGGCCCAGACUCCUACGGGAGGCAGCAGUGGGGAAUUUUCCGCAAUGGGCGAAAGCCUGACGGAGCAAUGCCGCGUGAAUGAAGAAGGUCUUCGGAUCGUAAAGUUCUGUCAUCAGGGAAGAACAGCAGUGGUGUGAAUAAUGCCAUUGCCUGACGGUACCUGAGGAGGAAGCCACGGCUAACUACGUGCCAGCAGCCGCGGUAAUACGUAGGUGGCGAGCGUUGUCCGGAAUUACUGGGCGUAAAGGGCGUGUAGGCGGGAAUUUAAGUCAGAUGUGAAAGACCCGGGCUCAACUUGGGGAUUGCAUUUGAUACUGGAUUUCUUGAGGACAGGAGAGGAAAGCGGAAUUCCUAGUGUAGCGGUGAAAUGCGUAGAUAUUAGGAGGAAUACCAGUAGCGAAGGCGACUUACUGGCCUCUAACUGACGCUGAUGAACGAAAGCGUGGGUAGCAAACAGGAUUAGAUACCCUGGUAGUCCACGCCGUAAACGAUGAGUGCUAGGUGUCGGGAGUCAAAUCUCGGUGCCGUAGUAACGCAAUAAGCACUCCGCCUGGG
This 884-nucleotide ribosomal RNA is filed under the name uncultured bacterium. RNAcentral describes it as "bacterial SSU rRNA". It matches the Rfam family "Bacterial small subunit ribosomal RNA", at positions 30 to 877 of the family's 1533-position model. The record is from RNAcentral.